RNAcentral lists this ribosomal RNA (467 nucleotides) under uncultured bacterium. Its description in RNAcentral is "partial 16S ribosomal RNA". It matches the Rfam family "Bacterial small subunit ribosomal RNA", at positions 29 to 507 of the family's 1533-position model. The record is from RNAcentral.
ACGAACCCUGGCGGCGUGCUUAACACAUGCAAGUCGAACGGAAAGACCCUGCUUUUGUGGGGUGCUCGAGUGGCGAACGGGUGAGUAACACGUGAGUAACCUGCCCUUGACUUUGGGAUAACUUCAGGAAACUGGGGCUAAUACCGGAUAGGAGCUCCUGCUGCAUGGUGGGGGUUGGAAAGUUUCGGCGGUUGGGGAUGGACUCGCGGCUUAUCAGCUUGUUGGUGGGGUAGUGGCUUACCAAGGCUUUGACGGGUAGCCGGCCUGAGAGGGUGACCGGCCACAUUGGGACUGAGAUACGGCCCAGACUCCUACGGGAGGCAGCAGUGGGGAAUAUUGCACAAUGGGCGGAAGCCUGAUGCAGCAACGCCGCGUGCGGGAUGACGGCCUUCGGGUUGUAAACCGCUUUCGCCUGUGACGAAGCGUGAGUGACGGUAAUGGGUAAAGAAGCACCGGCUAACUACGUG